This 253-nucleotide ribosomal RNA is filed under the name uncultured bacterium. RNAcentral describes it as "partial 16S ribosomal RNA". It matches the Rfam family "Bacterial small subunit ribosomal RNA", at positions 524 to 776 of the family's 1533-position model. The record is from RNAcentral.
UACAGAGGGGGCAAGCGUUAUUCGGAAUUAUUGGGCGUAAAGGGCGCGUAGGCGGCUUUGCAAGUGACGGGUGAAAUCCCUCGGCUUAACCGAGGAACUGCCUGUCAAACUGCAUGGCUUGAGACCGGGAGAGGUGAGUGGAAUUCCGAGUGUAGAGGUGAAAUUCGUAGAUAUUCGGAAGAACACCAGUGGCGAAGGCGGCUCACUGGUCCGGUACUGACGCUGAGGUGCGAAAGCGUGGGGAGCAAACAGG